GCGUGCCUAACACAUGCAAGUCGAGCGGGGAGAUACAGUAGUUUACUACAGUAUGAUCCUAGCGGCGGACGGGUGAGUAACGCGUGGAUAACCUACCCCAUACAGGGGAACAACAGCGAGAAAUCGCUGCUAAUACCGCAUAGGGUCCUGUGAAGAAAGAUGGCCUCUGAUUCAAGCUGUCGCCCCCAGAUGAGUCCGCGGUUGAUUAGCUAGUUGGUGGGGUAAUGGCCCACCAAGGCGACGAUCAAUAGCCGGCCUGAGAGGGCGAUCGGCCACACUGGAACUGAGACACGGUCCAGACUCCUACGGGAGGCAGCAGUGGGGAAUAUUGCGCAAUGGGCGAAAGCCUGACGCAGCAACGCCGCGUGGAGGAUGACGGUUUUCGGACUGUAAACUCCUGUCAGGUGGGACCAUCUGGGACGGUACCACCAGAGGAAGCCCCGGCUAACUCCGUGCCAGCAGCCGCGGUAAUACGGGGGGGGCAAGCGUUAUUCGGAAUCAUUGGGCGUAAAGGGCGCGUAGGCGGCCUGACAAGUCAGAUGUGAAAGCCCGAAGCUCAACUUCGGGACUGCAUUUGAAACUGUUUUACUAGAGUACAGGAGAGGAAAGUGGAAUUCCUAGUGUAGCGGUGAAAUGCGUAGAUAUUAGGAGGAACACCAGUGGCGAAGGCGACUUUCUGGACUGUAACUGACGCUGAGACUCGAAAGCGUGGGGAGCGAACAGGAUUAGAUACCCUGGUAGUCCACGCCGUAAACGAUGAAUGCUAGGUGUCGGGCCUGUAGUGGGUCGGUGCCGCAGCUAACGCAUUAAGCAUUCCACCUGGGGAGUACGAUCGCAAGAUUGAAACUCAAAGGAAUUGACGGGGGCCCGCACAAGCGGUGGAGCAUGUGGUUUAAUUCGAAGCAACGCGAAGAACCUUACCAGGUCUUGACAUCCCAUUGACCGGAACUUAAUCGUUCCCUCUCUUUUGAGCAAUGGAGACAGGUGGUGCAUGGUUGUCGUCAGCUCGUGUCGUGAGAUGUUGGGUUAAGUCCCGCAACGAGCGCAACCCUUAUCUUUAGUAACCAGCACGUAAUGGUGGGGACUCUAGAGAGACUGCCGGGGAUAACUCGGAGGAAGGUGGGGAUGACGUCAAAUCAUCAUGCCCCUUAUGACCUGGGCUACACACGUGCUACAAUGGCGGAUACAAAGGGAAGCAAACCCGUGAGGUCGAGCAAACCCCAUAAAGUCCGUCCCAGUCCGGAUUGUAGUCUGCAUCUCGACUACAUGAAGUUGGAAUCGCUAGUAAUCGCGAAUCAGAGUGUCGCGGUGAUACGUUCCCGGGUCUUGUACACACCGCCCGUCACACCACGGAAGUCGGAAGCGCCCGAAGCCGAUGGCCCGACCGCAAGGAGGGAGUCGUCGAAG
Molecule: ribosomal RNA, 1407 nt
Filed under: uncultured prokaryote
Description: partial 16S ribosomal RNA
Rfam family: Bacterial small subunit ribosomal RNA
Source: RNAcentral